RNAcentral lists this ribosomal RNA (161 nucleotides) under Asarum caudigerellum. Its description in RNAcentral is "5.8S ribosomal RNA". Lineage: Eukaryota; Viridiplantae; Streptophyta; Magnoliopsida; Piperales; Asaraceae. The record is from RNAcentral.
CAGGAUAUAGGUGAAGAUAACUCUACCUACACCCUCGCUGCACAUCGUACUGCGGGUUCGUCCACACGGGAGUUGGAUUUCCAGAGCCCGCGUUGAACGCAAGUUUCUGAGCUACCAAGUGCCCUAAGACGUUAAGUGUGGUUCAUAGCGUAAAGCGAUGC